Non-coding RNA from Trichonephila inaurata madagascariensis, 73 nucleotides. The record is from the annotation of a GenBank genome assembly. Lineage: Eukaryota; Metazoa; Arthropoda; Arachnida; Araneae; Nephilidae.
AUCCCUGUAGCACAAUGAAUAGUGCAAUGGACUUAUAAUCCAAAAGGCGGGGGUUCGAAUUCCACCUGGGAUG